GACGAACGCUGGCGGCGUGCUUAACACAUGCAAGUCGAACGGAAAGGCCCUGCUUGCAGGGUACUCGAGUGGCGAACGGGUGAGUAACACGUGGGUGAUCUGCCCUGCACUUCGGGAUAAGCCUGGGAAACUGGGUCUAAUACCGGAUAGGAGCCAUUUUUAGUGUGAUGGUUGGAAAGUUUUUUCGGUGUAGGAUGAGCUCGCGGCCUAUCAGCUUGUUGGUGGGGUAAUGGCCUACCAAGGCGGCGACGGGUAGCCGGCCUGAGAGGGUGGACGGCCACAAUGGGACUGAGAUACGGCCCAGACGCCUACGGGGGGCAGCAGUAGGGAAUAUUGCACAGUGGGCGCGAGCCUGAUGCAGCGACGCCGCGUGGGGGAUGACGGCCUUCGGGUUAUAAACUCCUUUCGCUAGGGACGAAGCUUUUGUGACGGUACCUAAAUAAGAAGCACCGGCUAACUACGUG
This 464-nucleotide ribosomal RNA is filed under the name uncultured bacterium. Its description in RNAcentral is "partial 16S ribosomal RNA". It matches the Rfam family "Bacterial small subunit ribosomal RNA", at positions 28 to 507 of the family's 1533-position model. The record is from RNAcentral.